Molecule: ribosomal RNA, 465 nt
Filed under: uncultured bacterium
Lineage: Bacteria
Description: partial 16S ribosomal RNA
Rfam family: Bacterial small subunit ribosomal RNA
Source: RNAcentral
CCUACGGGUGGCAGCAGUGGGGAAUAUUGCGCAAUGGGCGAAAGCCUGACGCAGCGACGCCGCGUGAGGGAUGAAGGUCUUCGGAUCGUAAACCUCUGUCAGCAGGGAAGAACGGUCACUGUGCUAAUCAGCAGUGAAUUGACGGUACCUGCAAAGGAAGCCUCGGCUAACUCCGUGCCAGCAGCCGCGGUAAUACGGAGGGUGCGAGCGUUAAUCGGAAUUACUGGGCGUAAAGCGCUCGUAGGCGGUAUGUCAAGUCAAGGGUGAAAUCCCCGCGCUCAACGUGGGAACUGCCUGUGAAACUGGCAAACUGGAGUGUGUGAGAGGAUAGUGGAAUUCCAGGUGUAGGAGUGAAAUGCGUAGAUAUCUGGAAGAACAUCAGUGGCGAAGGCGACUAUCUGGCACAUAACUGACGCUGAGGAGCGAAAGCGUGGGUAGCAAACAGGAUUAGAUACCCCAGUAGUC